Molecule: ribosomal RNA, 274 nt
Filed under: uncultured bacterium
Lineage: Bacteria
Description: partial 16S ribosomal RNA
Rfam family: Bacterial small subunit ribosomal RNA
Source: RNAcentral
AUACGGAGGGUGCAAGCGUUAUCCGGAAUCACUGGGUUUAAAGGGUGCGUAGGCGGCGCUAUAAGUCAGAUGUGAAAUCCCACCGCUUAACGGUGGAACUGCAUUUGAUACUGUAGUGCUUGAAUCAGGCUGAGGUCAGCGGAAUGUGUCAUGUAGCGGUGAAAUGCAUAGAUAUGACAUAGAACACCAAUUGCGAAGGCAGCUGACUAGACCUGUCUUGACGCUGAGGCACGAAAGCGUGGGGAGCGAACAGGAUUAGAAACCCCAGUAGUCC